Long non-coding RNA from Polyodon spathula (Mississippi paddlefish), 854 nucleotides. RefSeq lists it as uncharacterized. The transcript is spliced from 2 exons. NCBI's taxonomy places the organism in Eukaryota, Metazoa, Chordata, Actinopteri, Acipenseriformes, Polyodontidae. The record is from RefSeq and is a predicted model, not a curated record.
UCUUUGCAAGGCUGCUGUUUGUCAGUAAAGAGCAGGGAGUGGCGUGCUUGUGUAAAAGCAGGCUCUUUGCAAGGCUGCUGUUUGUCAGUGAAGAGCAGGGAGUGGCUGGGUGUACAGCAGGUAGCAGCUUGUGUGGACAAGCCGGCCAGAGGUAGUGCAGUUUAGUUGUUGAGUGUUUUUUCCUGGCAGUGUGGCUGGUUUGAAUACAGGACUCUGGAUUCUGUUCAGCUGAUCCACUCCCGAGAUCAGACAGGUCAUUAAAUCAGAUUUCGCCCAGGGCGUGCUGGCUGUGUGUACGGGUGUGUAAACAUCUGAAACUCCAGAGAGACCCCUGAUUUUCUUAUAAACAGGGGCAGUGCUGUCCUUAACCUGUCCUCCUUGUGGAUCCCAACCCUUAGAGACGUUUCCUACAGUAAAGGACAGUGAAAGCAUGGUAAAGAAUAGGGGAGCAGUGCAAAGCACAGUGAAAGCAUGGUAAAGCAUAGGGGAGCAUUGUAAAGCUCAGGGAGGUAUGGUGAAGCUCAGGGAGGUAUGGUGAAGCUCAGGGAGGUAUGGUGAAGCUCAGGGAGGUAUGGUGAAGCACAGGGAGGUAUGGUGAAGCUCAGGGAGGUAUGGUGAAGCACAGGGAGGUAUGGUGAAGCUCAGGGAGGUAUGGUGAAGCAUGUUAAAACUGACUGUGGGACCUCAGUGCCAGUUUCAGUGCCAGUCUGCCCUGUCUUGCUCUUCCUUUUCACUGCUGCAUCUUCCUUGUUUCCUUUAUUAAUCUUUGAGAUUGUUAACCCCGUCCCUCUUUAUAUAUUUCACAUUUCUCUUGUAUUAUUUUUUUUAGUUUAUUUUGAUGAACACAAUAAGCU